This 253-nucleotide ribosomal RNA is filed under the name uncultured bacterium. RNAcentral's name for it is "partial 16S ribosomal RNA". It matches the Rfam family "Bacterial small subunit ribosomal RNA", at positions 524 to 776 of the family's 1533-position model. The record is from RNAcentral.
UACGUAGGGUGCAAGCGUUAAUCGGAAUUACUGGGCGUAAAGCGUGCGCAGGCGGUUCGCUAAGACAGAUGUGAAAUCCCCGGGCUUAACCUGGGAACUGCAUUUGUGACUGGCGGGCUAGAGUAUGGCAGAGGGGGGUAGAAUUCCACGUGUAGCAGUGAAAUGCGUAGAGAUGUGGAGGAAUACCGAUGGCGAAGGCAGCCCCCUGGGCCAAUACUGACGCUCACGCACGAAAGCGUGGGGAGCAAACAGG